Molecule: ribosomal RNA, 258 nt
Filed under: uncultured bacterium
Lineage: Bacteria
Description: partial 16S ribosomal RNA
Rfam family: Bacterial small subunit ribosomal RNA
Source: RNAcentral
UACAGAGGUCUCAAGCGUUGUUCGGAUUUAUUGGGCGUAAAGAGCUCGUAGGCGGUCUGUCGCGUCUGCUGUGAAAACUCAGGGCUUAACCCUGAGCUUGCAGUGGGUACGGGCAGACUAGAGUGCGGUAGGGGAGACUGGAAUUCCUGGUGUAGCGGUGAAAUGCGCAGAUAUCAGGAGGAACACCGGUGGCGAAGGCGGGGUCUCUGGGCCGUAACUGACGCGUGGAGGCGCGGAAAAGCCAGGGGAGCGAACGGG